CAGGGAGUAGUUUAUUUAAAAUAUUAACUUUGGAGGUUGAUGAUAGGUAUAUUUGUCUUUUCCCUGA
RNAcentral lists this transfer RNA (67 nucleotides) under Roisinitermes ebogoensis. RNAcentral's name for it is "tRNA-Pro". The record is from RNAcentral. Lineage: Eukaryota; Metazoa; Arthropoda; Insecta; Blattodea; Kalotermitidae.